Molecule: ribosomal RNA, 792 nt
Filed under: Pseudomonas sp.
Lineage: Bacteria; Pseudomonadati; Pseudomonadota; Gammaproteobacteria; Pseudomonadales; Pseudomonadaceae
Description: bacterial SSU rRNA
Rfam family: Bacterial small subunit ribosomal RNA
Source: RNAcentral
GAAGAGAGCUUGCUCUCUGAUUCAGCGGCGGACGGGUGAGUAAUGCCUAGGAAUCUGCCUGGUAGUGGGGGACAACGUCUCGAAAGGGACGCUAAUACCGCAUACGUCCUACGGGAGAAAGCAGGGGACCUUCGGGCCUUGCGCUAUCAGAUGAGCCUAGGUCGGAUUAGCUAGUUGGUGAGGUAAUGGCUCACCAAGGCGACGAUCCGUAACUGGUCUGAGAGGAUGAUCAGUCACACUGGAACUGAGACACGGUCCAGACUCCUACGGGAGGCAGCAGUGGGGAAUAUUGGACAAUGGGCGAAAGCCUGAUCCAGCCAUGCCGCGUGUGUGAAGAAGGUCUUCGGAUUGUAAAGCACUUUAAGUUGGGAGGAAGGGUUGUAGAUUAAUACUCUGCAAUUUUGACGUUACCGACAGAAUAAGCACCGGCUAACUCUGUGCCAGCAGCCGCGGUAAUACAGAGGGUGCAAGCGUUAAUCGGAAUUACUGGGCGUAAAGCGCGCGUAGGUGGUUUGUUAAGUUGGAUGUGAAAGCCCCGGGCUCAACCUGGGAACUGCAUUCAAAACUGACAAGCUAGAGUAUGGUAGAGGGUGGUGGAAUUUCCUGUGUAGCGGUGAAAUGCGUAGAUAUAGGAAGGAACACCAGUGGCGAAGGCGACCACCUGGACUGAUACUGACACUGAGGUGCGAAAGCGUGGGGAGCAAACAGGAUUAGAUACCCUGGUAGUCCACGCCGUAAACGAUGUCAACUAGCCGUUGGGAGCCUUGAGCUCUUAGUGGCGCAGCUAACGCA